GCAGCGUCUCCGACCGCCGGGCGCGGUGGCGCGUGCCUGUAGUCCCAGCUACUCGGGAGGCUGAGGUGGGAGGAUCGCUUGAGCCCAGGAGUUCUGGGCUGUAGUGCGCUAUGCCGAUCGGGUGUCCGCACUAAGUUCGGCAUCAAUAUGGUGACCUCCCGGGAGCGGGGGACCACCAGGUUGCCUAAGGAGGGGUGAACCGGCCCAGGUCGGAAACGGAGCAGGUCAAAACUCCCGUGCUGAUCAGUAGUGGGAUCGCGCCUGUGAAUAGCCACUGCACUCCAGCCUGAGCAACAUAGCGAGACCCCGUCUCUUUUGCCCCCCUCCCUCAUUAAGGGUACCUUUCGCGAAAGCUCACCAGUUGACGGGAUGCUUGGGGAUUUGCAACCGCCUCAUCGCUGCCCCCUACCGGCGCAUAUUCAAAACGUCUCUGCGAAAAGCUGUUAUUACCUUCGGAGCCAACAGGGGCUGCUCGUUUACCCACAGACAGUCGGAAAAAAAUGGCCGCCGGAUCACAGAGAGCAAAAAGUACGUUCUCUUAAAGAAUUUCCAAGUUCUUCCCGCGGCCGUUCAGGAUGCUGCUUGCAGUUACCAACAUUAUUCCCCUGCACUGAGCUGACCUGAGCUUCCCUGCCUACCUCCUGUCACGGAUGUCACCUUCUUUCACCCCUGUCCUGUCAAGGUUUUUGCUUUAGAAUGCUAUAGACCAAAGACGGGCUAAUCAACAGUCUUACACACAAAUCCUUUCGUUCUACUUGGCUACAGGCAGGGCUAAUCUUCCGAAGAGGAAUCCCACUACUGCCUCCUUAUAAGGGAAAAACUCCUCUCAGAGGAACCCAGAACGCCCUGUGAUGACAGAGGUGAGGGGCCAGCGUGGCAGAAUGCACCACCCUGUCUCCUCGCUUGCUUCUCUCUCCGUCGGAUUGCCAAAAAGGGAACGGCACCUAGACGCCGAAAAGUAACUGAAGCAAAGGGAGUUUAAAGAACGCGCCCAGCCGCCUGGGUCUUGAACCCAGUGUUAAUGAGAGCAAAAACCUCUGCAUCCUCCACUGAGCUGUCCUUGAGCAUGUCUCAUAAUCAUGCUUCAUUUUAAAAACAGAAAUAAGUGAGUAAGCUAUGAAAGAAGACAACCUUUAAAUUUUUCAAAAGUUCUUGGUGGUCUGUGAUUAGAAAUUUCAUCUAUAUGAAAUAACUGUUUUGGAGGGCUUACUGUUAAAUUCAGGCAUUUUAGGGCCAGUGGAAACUGGUUAAGCAUUCACAUCAGUCUUAACAUUAAUCUGAUAAUCUACUGGGAGUUUAAAGACUCUAAGCACUAAACACAGAUUUUCCUCACUGUCUAUAAAAUGAAAGAGGAAAGAAGCAUUGUACUAAAUUUUUUAUAAAGCUAAUUGUAUUCCCUUUUUUUUUUUUGAGGUAGUUCAUUGCAUUUUGAACAAGGAUAACUGUCAGAAAAGAUCCUCUUUGAAUAAAACAGGUAUCUCCCCCA
Molecule: long non-coding RNA, 1486 nt
Filed under: Homo sapiens (human)
Lineage: Eukaryota; Metazoa; Chordata; Mammalia; Primates; Hominidae
Description: HSALNT0376842
Rfam family: Metazoan signal recognition particle RNA (bases 16-315)
Source: RNAcentral